This 490-nucleotide ribosomal RNA is filed under the name uncultured bacterium. RNAcentral's name for it is "partial 16S ribosomal RNA". It matches the Rfam family "Bacterial small subunit ribosomal RNA", at positions 28 to 507 of the family's 1533-position model. The record is from RNAcentral.
GAUGAACGCUAGCUACAGGCUUAACACAUGCCAGUCGCAGGGUAACAUGAGGAAAGCUUGCUUUCCUUGAUGACGACUGGCGCACGGGUGAGUAACGCGUAUCCAACCUUCCCAUAACUACGGGAUAACCCGUUGAAAGACGGCCUAAUACCGUAUGAUAUCGUUUGCUGACAUCAAAUAACGAUUAAAGGUUUAGCGGUUAUGGAUGGGGAUGCGUCUGAUUAGCUUGUUGGCGGGGUAACGGCCCACCAAGGCGACGAUCAGUAGGGGUUCUGAGAGGAAGGUCCCCCACAUUGGAACUGAGACACGGUCCAAACUCCUACGGGAGGCAGCAGUGAGGAAGAUUGGUCAAUGGGCGAGAGCCUGAACCAGCCAAGUAGCGUGCAGGACGACGGCCCUAUGGGUUGUAAACUGCUUUUAUGUGGGGAUAAAGUGCGUGACGUGUCAUGCAUUGCAGGUACCACAUGAAUAAGGACCGGCUAAUUCCGUG